CAGUAGCCGCGGUAAUACGUAGGGUGCGAGCGUUAAUCGGAAUUACUGGGCGUAAAGCGUGCGCAGGCGGUCAUAUAAGACAGAUGUGAAAUCCCCCCGCUCAACCUGGGGCCUGCAUUUGUGACUGUAUAGCUAGAGUACGGUAGAGGGGGAUGGAAUUCCGCGUGUAGCAGUGAAAUGCGUAGAUAUGCGGAGGAACACCGAUGGCGAAGGCAGCCCCCUGGGAUAACACUGACGCUCAUGCACGAAAGCGUGGGGAGCAAACAGGAUUAGAUACCCCAGUAGUCCCUGUCUCUUAUAA
RNAcentral lists this ribosomal RNA (301 nucleotides) under uncultured bacterium. RNAcentral describes it as "partial 16S ribosomal RNA". It matches the Rfam family "Bacterial small subunit ribosomal RNA", at positions 509 to 809 of the family's 1533-position model. The record is from RNAcentral.